GAGCCUGAGAAACGGCUACCACAUCCAAGGAAGGCAGCAGGCGCGCAAAUUACCCAAUCCCGACACGGGGAGGUAGUGACAAUAAAUAACAAUACAGGGUUCUUUUGGAUCUUGUAAUUGGAAUGAGUACAAUUUAAAUCUCUUAACGAGGAACAAUUGGAGGGCAAGUCUGGUGCCAGCAGCCGCGGUAAUUCCAGCUCCAAUAGCGUAUANNNAAGUUGUUGCAGUUAAAAAGCUCGUAGUUGAAUUUCGGGAUCAAUAUUUCGGUCAUGCCGUUGGUAUGCACUGUUAUCAUUGAUUUCUCACCUUCUAAAGAACCGUAAUGCCAUUAAUUUGGUGUUACGGGGAAUUAGGACUGUUACCUUGAAAAAAUUAGAGUGUUUAAAGCAGGCUCACGCUUGAAUACAUUAGCAUGGAAUAAUGAAACAGGACAUCCGAUUCUAUUUUGUUGGUUUCUAGGAUCGAUGUAAUGAUUAAUAGGGAUAGUUGGGGGCAUUAGUAUUCAAUUGCCAGAGGUGAAAUUCUUGGAUUUAUUGAAGACUAACUACUGCGAAAGCAUUUGCCAAGGAUGUUUUCAUUAAUCAAGAACGAAAGUUAGGGGAUCGAAGACGAUCAGAUACCGUCGUAGUCUUAACCAUAAACUAUGCCGACUAGGGAUCGGAUGAUGUUAAUUUUUUAAUGACUCAUUCGGCGCCUUACGGGA
RNAcentral lists this ribosomal RNA (703 nucleotides) under uncultured fungus. RNAcentral describes it as "SSU rRNA". It matches the Rfam family "Eukaryotic small subunit ribosomal RNA", at positions 392 to 1095 of the family's 1831-position model. The record is from RNAcentral. Lineage: Eukaryota; Fungi.